ACAUGUCAUUUUAUUGUGUGAUG
Molecule: non-coding RNA, 23 nt
Filed under: Arabidopsis thaliana (thale cress)
Lineage: Eukaryota; Viridiplantae; Streptophyta; Magnoliopsida; Brassicales; Brassicaceae
Source: RNAcentral